This 450-nucleotide ribosomal RNA is filed under the name uncultured bacterium. RNAcentral describes it as "partial 16S ribosomal RNA". It matches the Rfam family "Bacterial small subunit ribosomal RNA", at positions 338 to 795 of the family's 1533-position model. The record is from RNAcentral.
CCUACGGGGGGCUGCAGUGGGGAAUAUUGGACAAUGGGCGCAAGCCUGAUCCAGCAAUGCCGCGUGUGUGAAGAAGGCCUGCGGGUUGUAAAGCACUUUAAGCAGGAAAGAAGGGGUGCAAGUUAAUACCUUUCAUCAUUGACGUUACCUGCAGAAUAAGCACCGGCUAACUCCGUGCCAGCAGCCGCGGUAAUACGGAGGGUGCGAGCGUUAAUCGGAAUUACUGGGCGUGAUGCGCGCGGAGGGUCGUGAAAGGCCUGGGCUGAACCUGGGAACUGCGGUGUGUACUGUCGGGCUAGAGUGUGGUAGAGGGGAGUGGAAUGUCCGGUGUAGCAGUGAAAUGCGUAGAGAUCGGAAGGAACACCAGUGGCGAAGGCGGCUCCCUGGACUAACACUGACGCUGAGGUGCGAAAGCGUGGGGAGCAAACAGGAUUAGAUACCCGAGUAGUC